Triticum aestivum (bread wheat) is the source of this 1413-nucleotide long non-coding RNA. RefSeq lists it as uncharacterized. The record is from RefSeq and is a predicted model, not a curated record. The transcript is spliced from 2 exons. Lineage: Eukaryota; Viridiplantae; Streptophyta; Magnoliopsida; Poales; Poaceae.
CAUCCGCGGCACUACUUCCGAAUCUAGACUAUCUACCAGAAAUUUAGGCUCAAACAACUACUCCCUCCGUUUGAAAUUACUUGUCGUAGAAAUUGAUGUAUCUAGACAUUUUUUAGUUCUAGAUACAUUCAUUUUUGCGAUAAGUAAUUUAAAACGGGAUUUUUGAUUUUUUGUCACCAAUUAUUUUGUACUUUGAUAAUUUGCCACUCUUUACAUUGUAAUUGAUCUGCUGCCACUCUUUACAUUGAACUUUGAUUUUUUGCCCUCUAUCAGAUGGGCCCCGCAUAAAAUGACCAGAAUGCCCGUGCUCCCAGAUCGUUGACCAGGAACAGGAGAGGAGCUCGGUCGCUCGUCUCAUCCCCUUCCUCUGGCCGGCAGCAACGCCAGGAGACCACGGCGGCUACUCAACGGCGUCGCGCUUGGUGGUCCUCGACGACCGACGGCCCUGGUCGUCCGCGGCGACUACAUCCCGGCGAGCUGGUCGCCGCGUUGCCGUGAUGUAAGCUGCCGCUGCGGCUCUGGUGACGACGGCUGCAGGGACGAGUCGUACAACACGGCGCCGACGGGCCGACCCUUCCCUUCGCCGCCUCGGACAGCAGCAACUCCUCCAUGGUGCGGAAGCUAUGCGUGUUCCUCUCCCGUUGACCCGUUCACCUGCUUGUGCAGGUCGUUCCGGUGGUCCUCGAGCCGCAUGGCUGCUGCCUCCAUGCAGGUCUUCGGCAGCAAGGGCCGCCGGCCUCGUACGGCUGCUGCUCCGCGACGCGUCUCUAGCUGCACCAUGCAGCCAGAGCCUGCAACUUUCUUUUCUUCUCCUUUUUGACAUUCUUAGAACCUGCAUCUUGAUUCAUCUCUUCUUUGCAUGGAUGGAUGCGUCAGUACGAACUGCAACUUGUGAUUCUAUGUUCAGAACAUCAAUUUGGACAAUAAUUAAUCAAUUCAUUACAUUAAUUGUUCCCUCGCCGGUGCUCCCUUUCCUGGCCGCCGCUGCUCCUUCUGCUUUUGCGGCUUGCCGCUGCUCCUCCUCUCUGUAGCACAGCCCUGGCGCCCACGCUCGUGUGCGCUUCUCCCGGCAACUGGGAGCCAGCUCACUCUUAGCAACGGGGAGGGCGCCACCUCUACACUGCUACCUGGAGACGCAUCGGCCUCCUUCGUGCCACGGGCGUCGGGUGGGCACGGGUUGGCUGUCAACCUUGUCAGGGGGCAGGGAGCAGCACGAGCAACAAGGACGGCGGGGAGCAGCACAGCUGUGCCACCAACGGCAUCUGGUACUCCGACGGCGGCGGCGAACCGGUUCACCCCCUCCCGAUUUGACUUCAACGGUGAAUUGGCUGGCUGCACUGGUCAAACUAGCACAAAAGGGUAGUUUCGUCCACUGUUUUAUAUGUCUAUUAUGUUAAUCAUUAGCAAGUAUUG